CCAGACUCCUACGGGAGGCAGCAGUGAGGAAUAUUGGCCAAUGGCCGAGAGGCUGAACCAGCCAAGUCGCGUGAGGGAAUAAGGCCCUACGGGUCGUAAACCUCUUUUGCCGGGGAGCAAGGGCGGGGACGUGUCCCGGCCCGGAGAGUACCCGGAGAAAAAGCAUCGGCUAACUCCGUGCCAGCAGCCGCGGUAAUACGGAGGAUGCGAGCGUUAUCCGGAUUUAUUGGGUUUAAAGGGUGCGUAGGCGGGCUUUUAAGUCAGCGGUAAAAAUUCGGGGCUCAACCCCGUCCGGCCGUUGAAACUGGGGGCCUUGAGUGGGCGAGAAGAAGGCGGAAUGCGUGGUGUAGCGGUGAAAUGCAUAGAUAUCACGCAGAACUCCGAUUGCGAAGGCAGCAUACCGGCGCCCUACUGACGCUGAGGCACGAAAGCGUGGGUAUCGAACAGGAUUAGAUACCCCAGUAAC
RNAcentral lists this ribosomal RNA (466 nucleotides) under uncultured bacterium. RNAcentral describes it as "bacterial SSU rRNA". It matches the Rfam family "Bacterial small subunit ribosomal RNA", at positions 331 to 795 of the family's 1533-position model. The record is from RNAcentral.